ACUCCUGCGGGAGGCAGCAGUGGGGAAUUUUGAACAAUGGGCGAAAGCCUGAUCCAGCAAUGCCGCGUACAGGAUGAAGGCCUUCGGGUUGUAAACUGCUUUUGUACGGAACGAAAAAGCUCCUUCUAAUACAGGGGGCCCAUGACGGUACCGUAAGAAUAAGCACCGGCUAACUACGUGCCAGCAGCCGCGGUAAUACGUAGGGUGCGAGCGUUAAUCGGAAUUACUGGGCGUAAAGCGUGCGCAGGCGGUUAUGUAAGACAGAUGUGAAAUCCCCGGGCUCAACCUGGGAACUGCAUUUGUGACUGCAUGGCUAGAGUACGGUAGAGGGGGAUGGAAUUCCGCGUGUAGCAGUGAAAUGCGUAGAUAUGCGGAGGAACACCGAUGGCGAAGGCAAUCCCCUGGACCUGUACUGACGCUCAUGCACGAAAGCGUGGGGAGCAAACAGGAUUAGAAACCCUGAGUAGUCCCAUG
This 474-nucleotide ribosomal RNA is filed under the name uncultured organism. RNAcentral's name for it is "partial 16S ribosomal RNA". It matches the Rfam family "Bacterial small subunit ribosomal RNA", at positions 335 to 799 of the family's 1533-position model. The record is from RNAcentral.